CUGAUUCCUACCUUCUGACGAACCAUCAUGUCAUUAAUUUGGUGUGGCGGGGAAUCAGGACUGUUACUUUGAAAAAAUUAGAGUGUUUAAAGCAGGCUCGCGCUUGAAUACAUUAGCAUGGAAUAAUGAAAUAGGACGUUGACCCUAUUUUGUUGGUUUCUAGGAUUGACGUAAUGAUUAAUAGGGAUAGUUGGGGGCAUUAGUAUUCAAUUGUCAGAGGUGAAAUUCUUGGAUUUAUUGAAGACUAACUACUGCGAAAGCAUUUGCCAAGGAUGUUUUCAUUAAUCAAGAACGAAAGUUAGGGGAUCGAAGACGAUCAGAUACCGUCGUAGUCUUAACCAUAAACUAUGCCGACUAGGGAUCGGAUGAUGUUAUUUUUAAUGACUCAUUCGGCGCCUUACG
This 402-nucleotide ribosomal RNA is filed under the name uncultured Glomeromycotina. RNAcentral's name for it is "SSU rRNA". It matches the Rfam family "Eukaryotic small subunit ribosomal RNA", at positions 689 to 1092 of the family's 1831-position model. The record is from RNAcentral. Lineage: Eukaryota; Fungi; Glomeromycota.